GGUCAUAAAAAGCUUCUGGCUUUUCUAUUGGUUACAGUUUCUUAGUCUGUCUUGUAUCACUAACCCUGGGAGAAGGCAGCAGCCUUGUCUGGAAGCAACUCUACAGAGAGAAGCCAUGUUCAGACAAUAACUACAAGAGCCUUAAGAGGAGGCUGCAGCCACUCCCAACACUUUUGACUUCAACCUCGUAAGACUCAAAGGCAAAAGCUCACACUGGACCAUGGCCAGAAUCCUGACCAGCAAAGACAAAAACUGUGAAAUAAUAAAAUGUUCAUUGCUUAGCAGCUAUACUUGGAGGAAAUUGCUAUAUGAUGAUAUAUAACUAAUACAGAUGUUCUAGAGGCCAGGAAGGCUGUAUUUUGAAAAACAUUAAUAGAAGAGAGACUGAGUGUCCCAGUGAAGAGAUUGCUUUAACAGGGUACGAUUCCUACGCACAUCAUCUUGUGAGAAAAGUCAUGGUCUACACUGAAGGUGAUGUCUGCACCUUAGCUCAUUCAGGACCACCAAGAUGCACAGCUCAGAGGGUAUGAUUUCCAGCUGUAUUCCUUUUUCCAUGUCAGUGGUGCUCCCCUAGAGUUGUGUGGUACAUCUGUAUACAAUGAGUUCACAAAAUAGACUCGGCUGGAAAUUCAUUUAAUCUCUCUCUUUGUUCUGAAGAAACAUUUGAUACUGCCUUAUAUGAAGC
RNAcentral lists this long non-coding RNA (685 nucleotides) under Vulpes vulpes (red fox). Its description in RNAcentral is "lncRNA (ENSVVUG00000001505.1)". The record is from RNAcentral. Lineage: Eukaryota; Metazoa; Chordata; Mammalia; Carnivora; Canidae.